UUUUCCUGCCGGGAGAGCCAGGAGAAUCUGUGAGAAGUGGCCAGGGCACAGGUGGAGCUGCCUGCGCGCGCGCACACACACACACGCACGCACACACACACACACACACACACACACACACACACACGCACGCACGCACGCACGCCUCGGGACGCAGCCCUGGCAGGACCAGGCCCCCUCCCGGCAGGUGCGCGGAACUGACACGGAUUUCCCUCUGCCCUCGAGCUUCCGAACCUGCCGCCCACCCUGUCCCACAGACACCGACGCUGCAGUGAUCUGCAGGGCCUGAAACUCGCCCGGGGAGAACGCCCUCCCCUUGACGAAGGACGGCCUCCUACGGCCCGGCCCCCGGCGCUCCUCCUCUCCGCUCCGCCCUUUCCGAGCCGGUCCCGCGGGAGCCCGCGGCGGGGUAGAGGAAAGCGAAUCUGGGAGAGUGGUGCAAAGAAAGUUCCAAUCUGCUGCUCGAGCAUCACCAAUGUCCACCCUAAGUGCAACCCCCAGUCAGAGGUUAUAUGUGUAUAUCCCAUACUCCACGUCCAGAUCAGAAGAAGCCCAGCUGUCUUUGGUCAUUGGACUCUUCUCCACAUCCUUGGAAUAAAGGCUACUGUUUCUUUAUAUUUAUUCUCUUUCUUCACACUGAAAGCCCUUUCAUUUGGUUCCCUGGCUGGGAAGGCAGCGGGAGUGACUCCUGGGGUGCUCGCAGUUUGAGUCCCUCUGCUAAUUCACGGACCAGACCAUAUUUGGGAUUAAUUCCUCAUUUCUCAACACUUGGGAGCUUCUCAACUUGUCGCCACCAGCCUGCAAACACCAGCCUAUCUCUUUUAUCACAGCAGUGCGCUGGGGCUCCCAAGACAGGAAAGCCAAAACAAGGUGGAGCUGCUCAAGCCCCUCCUGGACCAUGCUUCAAGUGCAAUCAAGAAGGAUAUUGGGCAAGACAGUGCCCCAAUCCUGGUGUUCCUUUGGGGUCUUGCCCCUAUUGCAAUCUCAAGGGCCACUGGAAGAGUGACUGUCCUAACUGCCAUAGAGCAGUCUAAUGUGCAGGCAUUCCCCAAUGAUGAAGUUGUCCUGGCUGAAACACCUAGCACCAGCUUCUGCAUGGGCAUCAACCAUCAUCCCGUCAACCUUUCAGCAGGAAUCAUGGUAUGAAGAAAGUCCCAAUCAGUUGUUCGACUGUCACCAGUGCCCACCCUAAGAGAAACAUCCAGUCAGAGGUUAUAUAUAUAUCCCAUACCACCUGUCCCAGUCAGAAGAGGCCUGGGCAUUUUUGGUCAUUUGACUAUUCUCCAUAUCCUUGGAAUAAAGGCUACUGUUUCUUUA
Molecule: long non-coding RNA, 1317 nt
Organism: Cavia porcellus (domestic guinea pig)
Lineage: Eukaryota; Metazoa; Chordata; Mammalia; Rodentia; Caviidae
Exons: 5
Source: RefSeq, a predicted model, not a curated record